RNAcentral lists this ribosomal RNA (429 nucleotides) under Gemmatimonadota bacterium. RNAcentral's name for it is "Gemmatimonadetes bacterium partial 16S ribosomal RNA". It matches the Rfam family "Bacterial small subunit ribosomal RNA", at positions 355 to 776 of the family's 1533-position model. Lineage: Bacteria; Pseudomonadati; Gemmatimonadota. The record is from RNAcentral.
UAGGGAAUCUUCGGCAAUGGACGAAAGUCUGACCGAGCAACGCCGCGUGAGUGAAGAAGGUUUUUGGAUUGUAAAACUCUGUUGUUAGAGAAGAACAAGGACGUUAGUAACUGAACGUCCCCUGACGGUAUCUAACCAGAAAGCCACGGCUAACUACGUGCCAGCAGCCGCGGUAAUACGUAGGUGGCAAGCGUUGUCCGGAUUUAUUGGGCGUAAAGCGAGCGCAGGCGGUUUCUUAAGUCUGAUGUGAAAGCCCCCGGCUCAACCGGGGAGGGUCAUUGGAAACUGAGGGACUUGGGUGCAGAAGGGGGGGGUGGAAUUCCAUGUGUAGCGGUAAAAUGCGUAGAUAUAUGGGGGAAAACCAGUGGCGAAGGCGGCUCUCUGGUCUGUAACUGACGCUGAGGCUCGAAAGCGUGGGGGGCAAACAGG